This 494-nucleotide ribosomal RNA is filed under the name uncultured bacterium. RNAcentral's name for it is "partial 16S ribosomal RNA". It matches the Rfam family "Bacterial small subunit ribosomal RNA", at positions 28 to 507 of the family's 1533-position model. The record is from RNAcentral.
GACGAACGCUGGCGGCGUGCUUAACACAUGCAAGUCGAACGGAAAGGCCUGCUUUCUCUUGUGGAUUGCGGGUACUCGAGGGGCGAACGGUGGAGUAACACGCGAGUUAUCUGCCCGCAACUUGGGUAUAAGCGGGGGAUACUGUGUCUAAUUGUCGAGAGGACAGCAGGUUGGUGGCUGGGGUGGAAGACGAUUUUCUAUUGGCUGGGGGUUAGCUCGCGGGCUAUCAGCGUGUUGGUGGGGUAAUGGCCUACCAAGGCGGCGACGGGUAGCCGGCCUGAGAGGGUGGACGGCGACAUUGGAACUGAGAUACGGCCCAGGCUCCUACGGGCGGCGGCAGUGGGGAAUAUGGCACCAUGGGCGGAAGCCUGAUGCCGCGACGCGGCGUGGGGGAUGACGGCCUUCGGGUUGUAAACUCCUUUCGACCGAGAGGGAGCCACCUGGUUGGGAAGGUGGUGACGGUAGUGGUAGAAGAAGCACCGGCUAACUCCGUG